Molecule: ribosomal RNA, 498 nt
Filed under: uncultured bacterium
Lineage: Bacteria
Description: partial 16S ribosomal RNA
Rfam family: Bacterial small subunit ribosomal RNA
Source: RNAcentral
GACGAACGCUGGCGGCGUGCCUAAUACAUGCAAGUCGAGCGGACGGAUGGGAGCUUGCUCCCAUACCGUCAGCGCCGGCCGGGUGAGUAACCCGUGGGCAACCUGCCUGUAAGACUGGGAUAACUCCGGGAAACCGGGGCUAAUACCGGAUAACUCUUUCCCUCCCUUGAGGGAAAGCUGAAAGAUGGCAUCUCGCUAUCACUUACACAUGUGCCCGCGGGGCAUUAGCUAGUUGGUGAGGUAACGGCUCACCAAGGCGACUAUGCGUAGCCGACCUGAGGGGGUGAUCGGCGACACGGGGACUGAGACACGGCCCAGACUCCUACGGGAGGCAGCAGUAGGGAAUCUGCCGCAAUGGACGAAAGUCUGACGGAGCAACGCCGCGUGAGUGAUGAAGGUGUUCGGAUCGUAAAACUCUGUUGUCAGGGAAGAACAAGUACCGGAGUAACUGCCGGUACCGUGACGGUACCUGAUCAGAAAGCCACGGCUAACUACGUG